CAGCAGCAGCCGCGGUAAUACGGAGGGUGCAAGCGUUAAUCGGAAUUACUGGGCGUAAAGCGCACGCAGGCGGUCUGACAAGUCAGAUGUGAAAUCCCCGGGCUUAACCUGGGAACUGCAUUUGAAACUGUCAGGCUGGAGUCUUGUAGAGGGGGGUAGAAUUCCAGGUGUAGCGGUGAAAUGCGUAGAGAUCUGGAGGAAUACCGGUGGCGAAGGCGGCCCCCUGGACAAAGACUGACGCUCAGGUGCGAAAGCGUGGGGAGCAAACAGGAUUAGAUACCCGCGUAGUCCCUGUCUCUUAUAC
This 304-nucleotide ribosomal RNA is filed under the name uncultured bacterium. RNAcentral's name for it is "partial 16S ribosomal RNA". It matches the Rfam family "Bacterial small subunit ribosomal RNA", at positions 506 to 807 of the family's 1533-position model. The record is from RNAcentral.